Molecule: unclassified non-coding RNA, 25 nt
Filed under: Mus musculus (house mouse)
Lineage: Eukaryota; Metazoa; Chordata; Mammalia; Rodentia; Muridae
Description: oocyte_clustered_small_RNA7518
Source: RNAcentral
UGCUGUUAUUGAAGAUCUGCCUUAG